RNAcentral lists this small RNA (385 nucleotides) under Histoplasma ohiense. Its description in RNAcentral is "hypothetical lncRNA". The record is from RNAcentral. Lineage: Eukaryota; Fungi; Ascomycota; Eurotiomycetes; Onygenales; Ajellomycetaceae.
UGGUCCCACUGAAAAUCACGCCAAGAAAUGGACUGGGACCAAACCAAACCAAACCAAACAUGAAAUUCAUGGUCCCACCGGCCAGCCUAGUCAGAUUAGCUUUUGACAAGGUUUGAUUGAUGAGAACUUAUCAAUAGAUCACACAACACAAUCAGAACAGCAGAAGACACAGUGAUCAGAUGCUAUAUCACAGAAUAAAAGGGCUAGACAUUUGAUAGAAGAGGAUAGAUGUGUAGAAUGAUUGAAGCAGAGCAAGAGAGGUUGAGUGGAGGGGGUAUGAGAGAGUGAAUGAGAGGGGAUAGUUGUGAAUGUGGUGUUGUUAGUGAUGGACUGGUGUUGUUGUGAUAGGGACUCUUGUGCACGCGAAGUGAGCACCUUACCUAUU